AGCUAUCUGCCGUGUGCGUAGAAUUGACGACGUUUAAACCGACACUUUUAUUAUUUGGAAUGCGUUAAGUAGCACGCAGGAGUGGGAGUCCCGUUAGCAGCCUGGUUUGACUUGUCCCGGCUGCGGGAAAUCGCGUAAUGCCUGCACAGCGUUCCCCCUUUGGGUUUUUGGGUUAUAAAACUCUCCCAAUCUACGGCAUGUGCGGAGGCUU
This 211-nucleotide non-coding RNA is filed under the name Abditibacteriota bacterium. Its description in RNAcentral is "6S RNA". It matches the Rfam family "6S / SsrS RNA". Rfam says of the family: E. coli 6S RNA was the first non coding RNA to be sequenced, but its function was unknown until recently. It consists of 184 nucleotides that fold into an extended hairpin structure with a large single-stranded internal bulge. The 6S RNA specifically associates with RNA polymerase holoenzyme containing the sigma70 specificity factor. The record is from RNAcentral. Lineage: Bacteria; Pseudomonadati; Abditibacteriota.